Molecule: small RNA, 75 nt
Filed under: Xanthomonas campestris pv. campestris
Lineage: Bacteria; Pseudomonadati; Pseudomonadota; Gammaproteobacteria; Lysobacterales; Lysobacteraceae
Also listed under: 1 other name
Description: sX9 sRNA
Rfam family: Xanthomonas sRNA sX9
Source: RNAcentral
AUGUACCCACGUACACUCCGGUUCCUCCGCGCCGUCCGCACCCACCUGACGACUGCUCGCUACGUUUUUUUAGCC